AGACUUUGUGAGUACUGAUAUUAUAAUUGCAUUUAACGAUAGUUAUCUUUUCCGUGGAAGAAACUUCCUGCUGGGUAUGGUGAGUGGAUUAAGACGUUUGGUUAUCCAGAGAAGAAUGCAGUCAUCAGGACCCUCGAUGGGAGGACCUUUCAAGUCAAAGUGUUCAACCUUGCAGGCGACUACUUUUUUUACAAUGGCUGGUUUGAUGUCGUCACGUCAUUGAAAUUACCGGACGAUUCGUAGGUUGUUUGUCAGUAUGAAGAAGCUUUAUCUUCGUUCCGGCUGUUCCACUUUUAUCAAGACAUUUUUCUUGCGCCAUCUAACUACUUCUACUACAAACCUAAAAAUUAUUUUAAAGACCGAGACGACUGCAUGUAUGUGAACAGGUUGUUUGUUCAUCACUCGAUGCUGAAUACCUGUCCUUCAGAUCCUGUUUUGGUUCGUUCUGCUGGAAAUCGUAAAUGGGUUGUUCGGAUGGAAGUUUUAGACCAUGAGCUUUAUAUUACCACAGGUUGGAGUCGAAUCAAGGAGGAGAUGUCGAUAACGGAUGAUUUUUGAAAUGGUUGAUUUUAAGACGUUUGAUUUGAGUGUUUUUAGCUGUAAGCCUGCCCUUCUUACUUACCCGCCUGAACUUUGUGUUAUCAAAAAAGAACCAACUGAUGACUUAAUUGAAGUGUCUGAUGAUGAGGUGCCUAAUGCGGUUGUUGCACCUGUAUUUGAACAGAGUGUUGAUGACGAAGUACCGGUUACUUUUGUUAUUGACAACCAUUAUGUAAGCUUGUAUUAUUUACUUUUUCAUAA
Molecule: long non-coding RNA, 801 nt
Organism: Helianthus annuus (common sunflower)
Lineage: Eukaryota; Viridiplantae; Streptophyta; Magnoliopsida; Asterales; Asteraceae
Exons: 2
Source: RefSeq, a predicted model, not a curated record